This 509-nucleotide ribosomal RNA is filed under the name uncultured bacterium. Its description in RNAcentral is "bacterial SSU rRNA". It matches the Rfam family "Bacterial small subunit ribosomal RNA", at positions 15 to 518 of the family's 1533-position model. The record is from RNAcentral.
GAUUAUGGCUCAGGAUGAACGCUAGCGACAGGCUUAACACAUGCAAGUCGAGGGCAGCGCGAGGUAGCAAUACCUUGGCGGCGACCGGCGCACUGGUGAGUAACACGUAUGCGACCUGCCCCGGACAGGGGGAUAAACCCGGGAAACUGGGCCUAAUACCCCAUAUGCCAAGGGACCGCAUGGUCUCCUGGUGAAAGAUCCGUCGGUCCGGGAUGGGCAUGCGGCGCAUUAGCUUGUUGGCGGGGCGACGGCCCACCAAGGCGACGAUGCGUAGGGGUUCUGAGAGGAAGGUCCCCCACACUGGUACUGAGACACGGACCAGACUCCUACGGGAGGCAGCAGUGAGGAAUAUUGGUCAAUGGACGCGAGUCUGAACCAGCCCAAGUCGUGUGCGGGAUGAAGGCCCUCCGGGUCGUAAACCGCUUUAGCCGGGGAGUAACGUGGGGGACGGGUCCCUCAGUGAGAGUACCCGGAGAAUAAGCAUCGGCUAACUCCGUGCCAGCCGCCGC